UGUCUUUCUCUCUCUGUGUCCUAGCUGUCCUGGCAUCGUGUACAGGUUGUGCUGCUUGUCUUUCUCUCUCUGUGUCCUAGCUGUCCUGGCAUCGUGUAAAGGUUGUGCUGCUUGUCUUUCUCUCUCUGUGUCCCAGCUGUCCUGGCAUCGUGUACAGGUUGUGCUGCUUGUCUUUCUCUCUCUGUGUCCUAGCUGUCCUGGCAUCGUGUAAAGGUUGUGCUGCUUGUCUUUCUCUCUCUGUGUCCUAGCUGUCCUGGCAUCGUGUAAAGGUUGUGCUGCUUGUCUUUCUCUCUCUGUGUCCUAGCUGUCCUGGCAUCGUGUACAGGUUGUGCUGCUUGUCUUUCUCUCUCUGUGUCCUAGCUGUCCUGGCAUCGUGUAAAGGUUGUGCUGCUUGUCUUUCUCUCUCUGUGUCCUAGCUGUCCUGGCAUCGUAUCAAGGUUGUGCUGCUUGUCUUUCUCUCUCUGUGUCCUAGCUGUCCUGGCAUCGUGUAAAGGUUGUGCUGCUUGUCUUUCUCUCUCUGUGUCCUAGCUGUCCUGGCAUCGUGUACAGGUUGUGCUGCUUGUCUUUCUCUCUCUGUGUCCCAGCUGUCCUGGCAUCGUGUACAGGUUGUGCUGCUUGUCUUUCUCUCUCUGUGUCCUAGCUGUCCUGGCAUCGUGUAAAGGUUGUGCUGCUUGUCUUUCUCUCUCUGUGUCCCAGCUGUCCUGGCAUCGUGUAAAGGUUGUGCUGCUUGUCUUUCUCUCUCUGUGUCCUAGCUGUCCUGGCAUCGUGUAAAGGUUGUGCUGCUUGUCUUUCUCUCUCUGUGUCCUAGCUGUCCUGGCAUCGUGUAAAGGUUGUGCUGCUUGUCUUUCUCUCUCUGUGUCCCAGCUGUCCUGGCAUUGUGUAAAGGUUGUGCUGCUUGUCUUUCUCUCUCUGUGUCCCAGCUGUCCUGGCAUUGUGUAAAGGUUGUGCUGCUUGUCUUUCUCUCUCUGUGUCCCAGCUGUCCUGGCAUCGUGUAAAGGUUGUGCUGCUUGUCUUUCUCUCUCUGUGUCCUAGCUGUCCUGGCAUCGUGUACAGGUUGUGCUGCUUGUCUUUCUCUCUCUGUGUCCUAGCUGUCCUGGCAUCGUGUAAAGGUUGUGCUGCUUGUCUUUCUCUCUCUGUGUCCCAGCUGUCCUGGCAUCGUAUCAAGGUUGUGCUGCUUGUCUUUCUCUCUCUGUGUCCUAGCUGUCCUGGCAUCGUGUAAAGGUUGUGCUGCUUGUCUUUCUCUCUCUGUGUCCUAGCUGUCCUGGCAUCGUGUACAGGUUGUGCUGCUUGUCUUUCUCUCUCUGUGUCCCUGCUGUCCUGGCAUCGUGUAAAGGUUGUGCUGCUUGUCUUUCUCUCUCUGUGUCCUAGCUGUC
Oncorhynchus keta (chum salmon) is the source of this 1373-nucleotide long non-coding RNA. RefSeq lists it as uncharacterized. NCBI's taxonomy places the organism in Eukaryota, Metazoa, Chordata, Actinopteri, Salmoniformes, Salmonidae. The record is from RefSeq and is a predicted model, not a curated record. The transcript is spliced from 6 exons.